UUAUACAGCGACUGCGAAUGGCUCAUUAUAUAAGUUAUCGUUUAUUUGAUAGUACCUUACUACUUGGAUAACCGUGGUAAUUCUAGAGCUAAUACAUGCUGAAAAUCCCGACUUCGGAAGGGAGGUAUUUAUUAGAUUAAAAACCAAUGCCCUCUGGGCUCCUUGGUGAUUCAUAAUAACUUUUCGAAUCGCACGGCCUUGCGCCGGCGAUGGUUCAUUCAAAUUUCUUCCCUAUCAACUUUCGAUGUUUGGGUAUUGGCCAAACAUGGUCGCAACGGGUAACGGAGGGUUAGGGCUCGACCCCGGAGAAGGAGCCUGAGAAACGGCUACUACAUCCAAGGAAGGCAGCAGGCGCGCAAAUUACCCAAUCCCGAUUCGGGGAGGUAGUGACAAUAAAUACUGAUACAGGGCUCUUUUGGGUCUUGUAAUUGGAAUGAGUACAAUUUAAAUCUCUUAACGAGGAACAAUUGGAGGGCAAGUCUGGUGCCAGCAGCCGCGGUAAUUCCAGCUCCAAUAGCGUAUAUUAAAGUUGUUGUGGUUAAAAAGCUCGUAGUUGAACCUUGGGCCUGGCUGGCCGGUCCGCCUCACCGCGUGUACUGGUCCGGCCGGGCCUUUCCCUCUGUGGAACCUCAUGCCCUUCACUGGGUGUGGCGGGGAAACAGGACUUUUACUUUGAAAAAAUUAGAGUGCUCCAGGCAGGCCUAUGCUCGAAUACAUUAGCAUGGAAUAAUAAAAUAGGACGCGUGGUUCUAUUUUGUUGGUUUCUAGGACCGCCGUAAUGAUUAAUAGGGACAGUCGGGGGCAUCAGUAUUCAAUUGUCAGAGGUGAAAUUCUUAGAUUUAUUGAAGACUAACUACUGCGAAAGCAUUUGCCAAGGAUGUUUUCAUUAAUCAGGAACGAAAGUUAGGGGAUCGAAGACGAUCAGAUACCGUCGUAGUCUUAACCAUAACUAUGCCGACUAGGGAUCGGACGAUGUAUUUUUUGACGCGUUCGGCACCUUACGAGAAAUCAAGUGCUGGGCUCAGGGGAGUAUGGUCGCAGCUGAACCUAAGAAUGACGAGCACCACAAGGUAAACGCUCAUGCAGCGCAGUAGCUCUGCU
Molecule: ribosomal RNA, 1101 nt
Filed under: Beauveria bassiana
Lineage: Eukaryota; Fungi; Ascomycota; Sordariomycetes; Hypocreales; Cordycipitaceae
Description: SSU rRNA
Rfam family: Eukaryotic small subunit ribosomal RNA
Source: RNAcentral